GAUGAACGCUGGCUACAGGCUUAACACAUGCAAGUCGAGGGGAAACGACGGGGAAGCUUGCUUCCCCGGGCGUCGACCGGCGCACGGGUGAGUAACGCGUAUCCAACCUGCCUCUGACUGAGGGAUAACCCGUCGAAAGUCGGCCUAAUACCUCAUGGCAUCGUCUGCGGGCAUCCAACGACGAUUAAAGAUUUCAUCGGUCAGGGAUGGGGAUGCGUCUGAUUAGCUUGUUGGCGGGGUAACGGCCCACCAAGGCUACGAUCAGUAGGGGUUCUGAGAGGAAGGUCCCCCACAGUGGAACUGAGACACGGUCCAAACUCCUACGGGAGGCAGCAGUGAGGAAUAUUGGUCAAUGGGCGGGAGCCUGAACCAGCCAAGUAGCGUGCAGGAUGACGGCCCUAUGGGUUGUAAACUGCUUUUAUGCGGGGAUAAAGUGAGGGACGUGUCCUUCAUUGCAGGUACCGCAUGAAUAAGGACCGGCUAAUUCCGUG
This 491-nucleotide ribosomal RNA is filed under the name uncultured bacterium. RNAcentral's name for it is "partial 16S ribosomal RNA". It matches the Rfam family "Bacterial small subunit ribosomal RNA", at positions 28 to 507 of the family's 1533-position model. The record is from RNAcentral.